This is a transfer RNA of Camelus ferus (Wild Bactrian camel), 68 nucleotides long. It matches the Rfam family "tRNA". Rfam says of the family: Transfer RNA (tRNA) molecules are approximately 80 nucleotides in length. Their secondary structure includes four short double-helical elements and three loops (D, anti-codon, and T loops). Further hydrogen bonds mediate the characteristic L-shaped molecular structure. tRNAs have two regions of fundamental functional importance: the anti-codon, which is responsible for specific mRNA codon recognition, and the 3' end, to which the tRNAs corresponding amino acid is attached (by aminoacyl-tRNA synthetases). tRNAs cope with the degeneracy of the genetic code in two manners: having more than one tRNA (with a specific anti-codon) for a particular amino acid; and 'wobble' base-pairing, i.e. permitting non-standard base-pairing at the 3rd anti-codon position. The record is from Rfam. Lineage: Eukaryota; Metazoa; Chordata; Mammalia; Artiodactyla; Camelidae.
GAGGGUAUAGCUCAGUGGUAGAGUGCCUAGUAUGCACGAGGUCCUGGGUUCAAUCCUCAGUACUGCCA